RNAcentral lists this ribosomal RNA (1372 nucleotides) under uncultured bacterium. Its description in RNAcentral is "bacterial SSU rRNA". It matches the Rfam family "Bacterial small subunit ribosomal RNA", at positions 28 to 1381 of the family's 1533-position model. The record is from RNAcentral.
GAUGAACGCUGGCGGCGUGCCUAAUACAUGCAAGUCGAGCGAACGGACGAGAAGCUUGCUUCUCUGAUGUUAGCGGCGGACGGGUGAGUAACACGUGGAUAACCUACCUAUAAGACUGGGAUAACUUCGGGAAACCGGAGCUAAUACCGGAUAAUAUUUUGAACCGCAUGGUUCAAAAGUGAAAGACGGUCUUGCUGUCACUUAUAGAUGGAUCCGCGCUGCAUUAGCUAGUUGGUAAGGUAACGGCUUACCAAGGCAACGAUGCAUAGCCGACCUGAGAGGGUGAUCGGCCACACUGGAACUGAGACACGGUCCAGACUCCUACGGGAGGCAGCAGUAGGGAAUCUUCCGCAAUGGGCGAAAGCCUGACGGAGCAACGCCGCGUGAGUGAUGAAGGUCUUCGGAUCGUAAAACUCUGUUAUUAGGGAAGAACAUAUGUGUAAGUAACUGUGCACAUCUUGACGGUACCUAAUCAGAAAGCCACGGCUGACUACGUGCCAGCAGCCGCGGUAAUACGUAGGUGGCAAGCGUUAUCCGGAAUUAUUGGGCGUAAAGCGCGCGUAGGCGGUUUUUUAAGUCUGAUGUGAAAGCCCACGGCUCAACCGUGGAGGGUCAUUGGAAACUGGAAAACUUGAGUGCAGAAGAGGAAAGUGGAAUUCCAUGUGUAGCGGUGAAAUGCGCAGAGAUAUGGAGGAACACCAGUGGCGAAGGCGACUUUCUGGUCUGUAACUGACGCUGAUGUGCGAAAGCGUGGGGAUCAAACAGGAUUAGAUACCCUGGUAGUCCACGCCGUAAACGAUGAGUGCUAAGUGUUAGGGGGUUUCCGCCCCUUAGUGCUGCAGCUAACGCAUUAAGCACUCCGCCUGGGGAGUACGACCGCAAGGUUGAAACUCAAAGGAAUUGACGGGGACCCGCACAAGUGGUGGAGCAUGUGGUUUAAUUCGAAGCAACGCGAAGAACCUUACCAAAUCUUGACAUCCUUUGACAACUCUAGAGAUAGAGCUUUCCCCUUCGGGGGACAAAGUGACAGGUGGUGCAUGGUUGUCGUCAGCUCGUGUCGUGAGAUGUUGGGUUAAGUCCCGCAACGAGCGCAACCCUUAAGCUUAGUUGCCAUCAUUAAGUUGGGCACUCUAAGUUGACUGCCGGUGACAAACCGGAGGAAGGUGGGGAUGACGUCAAAUCAUCAUGCCCCUUAUGAUUUGGGCUACACACGUGCUACAAUGGACAAUACAAAGGGCAGCGAAACCGCGAGGUCAAGCAAAUCCCAUAAAGUUGUUCUCAGUUCGGAUUGUAGUCUGCAACUCGACUACAUGAAGCUGGAAUCGCUAGUAAUCGUAGAUCAGCAUGCUACGGUGAAUACGUUCCCGGGUCU